This is a long non-coding RNA of Carya illinoinensis, 957 nucleotides long. RefSeq lists it as uncharacterized. The transcript is spliced from 2 exons. The record is from RefSeq and is a predicted model, not a curated record. Lineage: Eukaryota; Viridiplantae; Streptophyta; Magnoliopsida; Fagales; Juglandaceae.
AGACUAAUAGGAAAAGGGGUAGAGAGUAGCUUGCUCCAUAGAAACAAAACUUUCUCUUCUCUUUUACAGGAACUCUUGAAGCUGCAUGGAAAACUCAUCACAAAUGUUUGGAGGUAUGUUUUCUUGUUAAUUUUCUUCACAGUUUUGACAAGAGAUCUUGGUGAUCUCGGAUUUAUUCAAAAUCCAACAAACCAAUCUUAAAAGUUGUGGAGCUCACAUAAUCUAUAAGCAUGAAGAGAAUGAGAGCUUAACAGUUGGGGAGUGCUCAGUAGAUUCAUCGAAUCGUAUCCAACUUUCUAAGGGACGCCGAGCUGAUGAAGACAACAACUUGGAAUUCAACAAGCAUCCACAACACAAAAGGCGCUCUCCAAACUUGGGUAAUUCAAAUGUGGUUAUCGAUUGCGCAGGUGUUGACGGUGAUUUCGCAAAAGCAGAAGGAGGCUCUGAGGGAAGUUUAAAAGAAGAAGAAGUACCUGCCUCACGAUCUGCAUCCCAAGAAAGCCAGGGAAUUCAUAGAAGGCUUACUAGGCACUAGGAUUUUACGCUGCCAGUGCAAAAGGGUUUCUCAAAUGAUGGGCAAAAGUCAAAGCAAAUUUGGAGGAAACAUGUGUGGCUAGUGUUGUUGCUGGACUUGUUUGUGUGCUCGGUGUUGUUCGUGAUAUGGUUGUGGGUUUGCGGGGGGUUUAACUGCAUUGUAGAUUAAUUUGGGAUUGAAUGGUUGAGUUGGGGGCGUGUUGGUUCUCUCUCUCUGUUUUUUUCUUCCAAAGGUCUGGGAGGAGGUGGGGUUGGUUGUAGGACAGAGGCAUGACUUUCACGAGCCAUUGGUGUAUGAUGAGGACGUAUAAGCAAGUGUUGUUGAUUUCUUCUUUUGGUAAUUUACUUGGAAUUUUCUGCUAAAUCUUUGUAUGAACUUCAAGACAAGUAAUACAGCUCUUUUUGUACGGUUCAUUUAUAUUA